GGUUAAGCGACUAAGCGUACACGGUGGAUGCCCGGCAGUCAGAGGCGAUGAAGGACGUGCUAAUCUGCGAUAAGCGUCGGUAAGGUGAUAUGAACCGUUAUAACCGGCGAUUUCCGAAUGGGGAAACCCAGUGUGAUUCGUCACACUAUCAUUAACUGAAUCCAUAGGUUAAUGAGGCGAACCGGGGGAACUGAAACAUCUAAGUACCCCGAGGAAAAGAAAUCAACCGAGAUUCCCCCCAGUAGCGGCGAGCGAACGGGGAGGAGCCCAGAGCCUGAAUCAGUGUGUGUGUUAGUGGAAGCGUCUGGAAAGGCGCGCGAUACAGGGUGACAGCCCCGUACACAAAAAUGCACAUGCUGUGAGCUCGAUGAGUAGGGCGGGACACGUGGUAUCCUGUCUGAAUAUGGGGGACCAUCCUCCAAGGCUAAAUACUCCUGACUGACCGAUAGUGAACCAGUACCGUGAGGGAAAGGCGAAAAGAACCCCGGCGAGGGGAGUGAAAAAGAACCUGAAACCGUGUACGUACAAGCAGUGGGAGCACAGAGCAAUCUGUGUGACUGCGUACCUUUGUAUAAUGGGUCAGCGACUUAUAUUCUGUAGCAAGGUUAACCGAAUAGGGGAGCCGAAGGGAAACCGAGUCUUAACCGGGCGUUAAGUUGCAGGGUAUAGACCCGAAACCCGGUGAUCUAGCCAUGGGCAGGUUGAAGGUUGGGUAACACUAACUGGAGGACCGAACCGACUAAUGUUGAAAAAUUAGCGGAUGACUUGUGGCUGGGGGUGAAAGGCCAAUCAAACCGGGAGAUAGCUGGUUCUCCCCGAAAGCUAUUUAGGUAGCGCCUCGUGAAUUCAUCUCCGGGGGUAGAGCACUGUUUCGGCAAGGGGGUCAUCCCGACUUACCAACCCGAUGCAAACUGCGAAUACCGGAGAAUGUUAUCACGGGAGACACACGGCGGGUGCUAACGUCCGUCGUGAAGAGGGAAACAACCCAGACCGCCAGCUAAGGUCCCAAAGUCAUGGUUAAGUGGGAAACGAUGUGGGAAGGCCCAGACAGCCAGGAUGUUGGCUUAGAAGCAGCCAUCAUUUAAAGAAAGCGUAAUAGCUCACUGGUCGAGUCGGCCUGCGCGGAAGAUGUAACGGGGCUAAACCAUGCACCGAAGCUGCGGCAGCGACACUGUGUGUUGUUGGGUAGGGGAGCGUUCUGUAAGCCUGUGAAGGUGUGCUGUGAGGCAUGCUGGAGGUAUCAGAAGUGCGAAUGCUGACAUAAGUAACGAUAAAGCGGGUGAAAAGCCCGCUCGCCGGAAGACCAAGGGUUCCUGUCCAACGUUAAUCGGGGCAGGGUGAGUCGACCCCUAAGGCGAGGCCGAAAGGCGUAGUCGAUGGGAAACAGGUUAAUAUUCCUGUACUUGGUGUUACUGCGAAGGGGGGGACGGAGAAGGCUAUGUUGGCCGGGCGACGGUUGUCCCGGUUUAAGCGUGUAGGCUGGUUUUCCAGGCAAAUCCGGAAAAUCAAGGCUGAGGCGUGAUGACGAGGCACUACGGUGCUGAAGCAACAAAUGCCCUGCUUCCAGGAAAAGCCUCUAAGCAUCAGGUAACAUCAAAUCGUACCCCAAACCGACACAGGUGGUCAGGUAGAGAAUACCAAGGCGCUUGAGAGAACUCGGGUGAAGGAACUAGGCAAAAUGGUGCCGUAACUUCGGGAGAAGGCACGCUGAUAUGUAGGUGAAGUCCCUCGCGGAUGGAGCUGAAAUCAGUCGAAGAUACCAGCUGGCUGCAACUGUUUAUUAAAAACACAGCACUGUGCAAACACGAAAGUGGACGUAUACGGUGUGACGCCUGCCCGGUGCCGGAAGGUUAAUUGAUGGGGUCAGCGCAAGCGAAGCUCUUGAUCGAAGCCCCGGUAAACGGCGGCCGUAACUAUAACGGUCCUAAGGUAGCGAAAUUCCUUGUCGGGUAAGUUCCGACCUGCACGAAUGGCGUAAUGAUGGCCAGGCUGUCUCCACCCGAGACUCAGUGAAAUUGAACUCGCUGUGAAGAUGCAGUGUACCCGCGGCAAGACGGAAAGACCCCGUGAACCUUUACUAUAGCUUGACACUGAACAUUGAGCCUUGAUGUGUAGGAUAGGUGGGAGGCUUUGAAGUGUGGACGCCAGUCUGCAUGGAGCCGACCUUGAAAUACCACCCUUUAAUGUUUGAUGUUCUAACGUGGACCCGUGAUCCGGGUUGCGGACAGUGUCUGGUGGGUAGUUUGACUGGGGCGGUCUCCUCCUAAAGAGUAACGGAGGAGCACGAAGGUUGGCUAAUCCUGGUCGGACAUCAGGAGGUUAGUGCAAUGGCAUAAGCCAGCUUGACUGCGAGCGUGACGGCGCGAGCAGGUGCGAAAGCAGGUCAUAGUGAUCCGGUGGUUCUGAAUGGAAGGGCCAUCGCUCAACGGAUAAAAAGGUACUCCGGGGAUAACAGGCUGAUACCGCCCAAGAGUUCAUAUCGACGGCGGUGUUUGGCACCUCGAUGUCGGCUCAUCACAUCCUGGGGCUGAAGUAGGUCCCAAGGGUAUGGCUGUUCGCCAUUUAAAGUGGUACGCGAGCUGGGUUUAGAACGUCGUGAGACAGUUCGGUCCCUAUCUGCCGUGGGCGCUGGAGAACUGAGGGGGCUGCUCCUAGUACGAGAGGACCGGAGUGGACGCAUCACUGGUGUUCGGGUUGUCAUGCCAAUGGCACUGCCCGGUAGCUAAAUGCGGAAGAGAUAAGUGCUGAAAGCAUCUAAGCACGAAACUUGCCCCGAGAUGAGUUCUCCCUGACCCUUUAAGGGUCCUGAAGGAACGUUGAAGACGACGACGUUGAUAGGCCGGGUGUGUAAGCGCAGCGAUGCGUUGAGCUAACCGGUACUAAUGAACCGUGAGGCUUAACCUU
This 2904-nucleotide ribosomal RNA is filed under the name Escherichia coli. RNAcentral's name for it is "23S ribosomal RNA". It matches the Rfam family "Bacterial large subunit ribosomal RNA". The record is from RNAcentral. Lineage: Bacteria; Pseudomonadati; Pseudomonadota; Gammaproteobacteria; Enterobacterales; Enterobacteriaceae.